Molecule: unclassified non-coding RNA, 603 nt
Filed under: Hevea brasiliensis (rubber tree)
Lineage: Eukaryota; Viridiplantae; Streptophyta; Magnoliopsida; Malpighiales; Euphorbiaceae
Source: RNAcentral
AAAAAUAAUGAACUAAAUUAAACAUCCCUAAUAAAUACAGAAGUGAAAUCGAACAUCUCUAACAAAUACAGAAGUGAAAUUGAACAUUUAGCCAAUUAGGUUUCGAGUAUUCCCAUUCCCUAGUCCCAAUGUCGUUUCCAAUACACGGAAUAAUUUGAUCUAUAAACAGCAAUGCCAUAAUGCCAAAGAAACCAUUGCUGGUUAGGACCCUUCACAGUAUCAAACAGAAGUAGAAUCAUGCUCUUCCUGCCGAACCAAACAAAUGCAUCUUUUCUGCAACCACAGCUUUCAUUGCUUCUUUUGCAGAAGCUAUAACAUGGACCAAAUCUUUCUUGGGGCUGCUCAGUGAGUCCAUGUACGCCUUGCGUACCUCAGUAUUCACAUUGAACUUCCUCACACCCCGCUCUAUACAGGCCUUUACAAGUUCGGGCAAGCCAGAAGCUCCGUGAAGAACCAGAACAACUCCUUUCUUGGAACUCAAGUCAUGCAAAUCCUUAAGCAAAUCAAGCCUGAGCUUUGGGCCACUGGCAGGAUACUUGCCAUGUACAUUUCCAAUGCACACUGCCAAAGCGUCUAUGCCAGUCUCAUCGAUGAAUUCUUCAG